ACAUCUGCACCUGAGCGUGAGGCAGGCUAUCAUUGAUCUUGUUUAAGAAUCGACUUUAGUCAUCGAUGACCGUUCACCACGAGAACUCGUCUCUCAUGGGAGGGUGUGGAUGUGAUCUGA
RNAcentral lists this small nucleolar RNA (120 nucleotides) under Pediculus humanus corporis (human body louse). RNAcentral describes it as "small nucleolar RNA U3". It matches the Rfam family "Small nucleolar RNA U3", at positions 95 to 214 of the family's 219-position model. Rfam says of the family: Small nucleolar RNAs (snoRNAs) are involved in the processing and modification of rRNA in the nucleolus. Lineage: Eukaryota; Metazoa; Arthropoda; Insecta; Psocodea; Pediculidae. The record is from Rfam by way of RNAcentral.